Molecule: long non-coding RNA, 496 nt
Organism: Pogoniulus pusillus (Red-fronted tinkerbird)
Lineage: Eukaryota; Metazoa; Chordata; Aves; Piciformes; Lybiidae
Exons: 2
Source: RefSeq, a predicted model, not a curated record
GCCUUAAGGGCCUCACCAUCCCGGUCUGGGCCCGGCCUUUCGGAGGAGCCUCCACGGGGAUUAACCUUGCUCUGCGCGUCAAGUUCCCUCCGGCCCGGUCCAAAUUACAUGCACAGGUGUGUGAAGCAGCACUGGUCCCAGAUGGGAGAGCUGUCCCACUAGGAAUUUCCUAGUCUUACUUUCUCGGUAACAUCUGCCCCUCUGAGAUCCUUCUCUACAAUCAAGGAAGAAGAAAACUCAGUCACAUUUCCCCCAUGACUAGAUUCAAGAGAAGAGAAACUUUUGACCCCUGUUGCGAGACACAGAAAAUGGCUAGUCACAGAGUGACUGCAGGGCAGCUUGCAAAAUUUGUUUGUUGAUAAAUUGGUUUAUAACGGGACCCUAUUCUGAGUGCAAAGAGAUGCCUUUAUUUCUCUUGGCACAUCUUUUGCUCUUUUGUGUACAUUUCUGUACACUCACCUAUAACAUUCCUAUAUAAAUAUAUGCAUUAUUCCGA